UGGGGAAUAUUGCGCAAUGGGGGCAACCCUGACGCAGCAAUACCGCGUGAGUGAAGAAGGUUUUCGGAUCGUAAAGCUCUGUUAUUGGGGAAGAAAAAAGACGGUACCCAAGAAGAAAGUCCCGGCUAACUACGUGCCAGCAGCCGCGGUACUACGUAGGGGACAAGCGUUGUCCGGAUUGACUGGGCGUAAAGGGCACGCAGGCGGUUUUUUAAGUCAGAUGUGAAAGGUACCGGCUCAACCGGUGACAUGCAUUUGAAACUGAAAGACUUGAGGAGUGGAGAGGCAAGUGGAAUCCCUAGUGUAGCGGGGAAAUGCGUAGAGAUUAGGAGGAACACCGGUGGCGAAGGCGGCUUGCUGGACAAAUACUGACGCUGAGGUGCGAAAGCGUGGGGAGCAAACA
RNAcentral lists this ribosomal RNA (403 nucleotides) under uncultured prokaryote. RNAcentral's name for it is "bacterial SSU rRNA". It matches the Rfam family "Bacterial small subunit ribosomal RNA", at positions 355 to 774 of the family's 1533-position model. The record is from RNAcentral.